CUGUCGUCAGCUCGUGUCGUGAGAUGUUGGGUUAAGUCCCGCAACGAGCGCAACCCUCAUCCUUAGUUGCCAUCAGGUAAUGCUGAGUACUUUAAGGAAACUGCCAGUGAUAAGCUGGAGGAAGGUGGGGAUGAUGUCAAGUCAUCAUGGCCUUUAUGGAGUGGGCUACACACGUGCUACAAUGGUGUCUACAAUGGGCUGCAAGGUGCGCAAGCCUAAGCUAAUCCCUAAAAGACAUCUCAGUUCGGAUUGUACUCUGCAACUCGAGUACAUGAAGUUGGAAUCGCUAGUAAUCGUGGAUCAGCAUGCCACGGUGAAUACGUUCUCGGGUCUUGUACACACUGCCCGUCACGCCAUGGGAAUUAA
Molecule: ribosomal RNA, 366 nt
Filed under: uncultured Wolbachia sp.
Lineage: Bacteria; Pseudomonadati; Pseudomonadota; Alphaproteobacteria; Rickettsiales; Anaplasmataceae
Description: bacterial SSU rRNA
Rfam family: Bacterial small subunit ribosomal RNA
Source: RNAcentral